GAUGAACGCUGGCGGCGUGCCUAAUACAUGCGAGUCGAGCGAACGGACGAGAAGCUUGCUUCUCUGAUGUUAGCGGCGGACGGGUGAGUAACACGUGGAUAACCUACCUAUAAGACUGGGAUAACUUCGGGAAACCGGAGCUAAUACCGGAUAAUAUUUUGAACCGCAUGGUUCAAAAGUGAAAGACGGUCUUGCUGUCACUUAUAGAUGGAUCCGCGCUGCAUUAGCUAGUUGGUAAGGUAACGGCUUACCAAGGCAACGAUGCAUAGCCGACAUGAGAGGGUGAUCGGCCACACUGGAACUGAGACACGGUCCAGAGUCCUACGGGAGGCAGCAGUAGGGAAUCUUCCGCAAUGGGCGAAAGCCUGACGGAGCAACGCCGCGUGAGUGAUGAAGGUCUUCGGAUCGUAAAACUCUGUUAUUAGGGAAGAACAUAUGUGUAAGUAACUGUGCACAUCUUGACGGUACCUAAUCAGAAAGCCACGGCUAACUACGUG
This 497-nucleotide ribosomal RNA is filed under the name uncultured bacterium. RNAcentral's name for it is "partial 16S ribosomal RNA". It matches the Rfam family "Bacterial small subunit ribosomal RNA", at positions 28 to 507 of the family's 1533-position model. The record is from RNAcentral.